This is a non-coding RNA of Miniopterus natalensis, 335 nucleotides long. NCBI's taxonomy places the organism in Eukaryota, Metazoa, Chordata, Mammalia, Chiroptera, Miniopteridae. The record is from RefSeq and is a predicted model, not a curated record.
GUCUGUCCUGCCCUUCGUGAGACUCCGGAUUCGGACUUCAGGCAGCACCUGGGAGCCAGGAGGGGAAUGAGGCGGGUUCCCGGGAGCUCGGAGUCCCACCCUCUGUGCACUCGGUCCUGCCCUUCGGGAAACUGUCACCUGUGACACGUCCUCAGCGUCACUAUUACAAAUACCGGCGGAGCUCUCGCCCCAGGUUCUGAACGAGUUGAGACAAAGGCUAAAGACCAGAUGGAAAACAUUGCCUCAGCCUCAGCUCCUGACCCAGCCUGGGGACACUGUGAUCCCCGAGGGCCACCAGGGUAAUCCAGGAUCAUCUGCAUCUGAAGAUCCUCAAC